UACAUACAACAGAAGGCACCGGUUAACUACGUGCCCGGCAGCGAAGUAAUACGUAGGGGCGAGCGUAUCCUGGAUUGUUGGGCGUAAAGAGCGCGUAGGCUGUUUUUUAUGUCGUAAGUGAAAUCCCUCGGCUCAACCGGGGAGUGUGCAGGCGAAACGGGCAAACUUGAGUGCUGCAGAAGAGAACUGGAAUUCCUUGUGUAGCGGUGAAAUGCGCAGAUAUCAGGAGGAACACCAGUGGCGAAGGCGGCUCUCUGGUUAGUAACUGACGCUGAGGAGCGAAAGCGUGGGUAGCGAACAGGAUUAGAUACCCUGGUAGUCCAUGCCGUAAACGGUGAGCGCUAGGUGUGAGGUCGUUUCCCCCACUCAGUGCCGUAGCUAACGCAUUAAGCGCUCCCGCCUGGGGAGUACGGCCGCAAGGCUAAAACUCAAAGGAAUUGACGGGGGCCCGCACAAGCGGCGGAGCAUGUGGAUUAAUUCGAAGCAACGCGAAGAACCUUACCUAGUCUUGACAUCUUCAGGAAGACGGCAGAGAUGUGGUUUCCCUUGUGGGACAUAUACACAUGGUGCACAGUGGUGUUCAGCUCUUGUCUUGAGAUAUUGGGUUAAAUCUCCCAAAGAGAGCAACCCCCGUGUUAUUUUGCCACCACAUAAAGGUGGGCACUCUUAAGAGACUGCCGGGGUCAAAUCGGAGGAAGGUGGGGAUGACGUCAAAUCAUCAUGCCCCUUAUGUCUAGGGCUUCACACAUGCUACAAUGGAUAGUACAGAGGGUUGCGAUACCGCGAGGUGGAGCGAAUCCCUUAAAGCUGGUCUCAGUUCGGAUUGGGGUCUGCAACUCGCCCCCAUGAAGUCGGAGUCGCUAGUAAUCGCAGAUCAGCAACGCGGCGGGGAAUAGUUUCCCGGCCUUGGUACACCCCCCCCUUCCCCUCAUGAAAGUCGGUACCCCCGAAAGCCGGUGGCUUAACCCUUGUGGAGCCAGCCGUCGUAGGUGGAUCGGAGAUGGAGGAAGUCGAAUCAAGAGCGCAAACU
RNAcentral lists this ribosomal RNA (1030 nucleotides) under Dietzia sp. Its description in RNAcentral is "bacterial SSU rRNA". It matches the Rfam family "Bacterial small subunit ribosomal RNA", at positions 476 to 1505 of the family's 1533-position model. The record is from RNAcentral. Lineage: Bacteria; Bacillati; Actinomycetota; Actinomycetes; Mycobacteriales; Dietziaceae.